GGGUGCUUCGGUAUUAUUUGAUCCGGGAUCUACUUAUUCUUAUGUGUCAUCCUAUUUUGCACUCUAUUUACUUAUGCCUAGUGAGGCUUUGGGUAUUCAGGUAUAUAUGUCCACACCGGUUGGUGAUUCUAUAGUGGUCGAUCGAGUGCAUCGUUCUUGCGUAGUGGUACUUGAGGGUCUUGAGACCCGUGUCGAUUUAUUGCUUCUAGACAUGGUGGACUUCGAUGUUAUAU
Molecule: long non-coding RNA, 233 nt
Filed under: Nicotiana benthamiana
Lineage: Eukaryota; Viridiplantae; Streptophyta; Magnoliopsida; Solanales; Solanaceae
Description: long non-coding RNA (NBEN_LNC000955)
Source: RNAcentral